GCCAAAAUAGCUCAUUUGGUAGAGCAUAAGACUGAAGAUCUAAAGGUCCCUGGUUCGAUCCUGGGUCUCGCCA
Non-coding RNA from Salmo salar (Atlantic salmon), 73 nucleotides. The record is from Rfam. Lineage: Eukaryota; Metazoa; Chordata; Actinopteri; Salmoniformes; Salmonidae.